RNAcentral lists this ribosomal RNA (627 nucleotides) under Photobacterium sp. Po120. RNAcentral's name for it is "bacterial SSU rRNA". It matches the Rfam family "Bacterial small subunit ribosomal RNA", at positions 64 to 692 of the family's 1533-position model. Lineage: Bacteria; Pseudomonadati; Pseudomonadota; Gammaproteobacteria; Vibrionales; Vibrionaceae. The record is from RNAcentral.
CCUUCGGGUGCGUUAUUGGGCGGCGAGCGGCGGACGGGUGAGUAAUGCCUGGGAAUAUGCCUUAGUGUGGGGGAUAACUAUUGGAAACGAUAGCUAAUACCGCAUAAUGCCUACGGGCCAAAGAGGGGGACCUUCGGGCCUCUCGCGCUGAGAUUAGCCCAGGUGGGAUUAGCUAGUUGGUGGGGUAACGGCUCACCAAGGCGACGAUCCCUAGCUGGUCUGAGAGGAUGAUCAGCCACACUGGAACUGAGACACGGUCCAGACUCCUACGGGAGGCAGCAGUGGGGAAUAUUGCACAAUGGGGGAAACCCUGAUGCAGCCAUGCCGCGUGUAUGAAGAAGGCCUUCGGGUUGUAAAGUACUUUCAGUCGUGAGGAAGGGUGUGUAGUUAACAGCUGCAUACCUUGACGUUAGCGACAGAAGAAGCACCGGCUAACUCCGUGCCAGCAGCCGCGGUAAUACGGAGGGUGCGAGCGUUAAUCGGAAUUACUGGGCGUAAAGCGCAUGCAGGCGGUCUGUUAAGCAAGAUGUGAAAGCCCGGGGCUCAACCUCGGAACAGCAUUUUGAACUGGCAGACUAGAGUCUUGUAGAGGGGGGUAGAAUUUCAGGUGUAGCGGUGAAAUGCGUA